GCACAUCUCGCCGGCGGCCGCUUGGUGUCAACGAUCCGGAUAGCGCCUUACAGCUCGACUUUGGUGUUUCUGAGACUGAUUUGGACAUUUCAAUCGGUUCCUAUUCUGAUGUCGGCCCUGUCAUCUGACGGCAUAUUCCGGCACCGACGGCAGCAGAUGGCUCUGGCCUGGUGUUGCUGUGACUGGUGCUGCCACCUACACAAGCAUCAGUUGACGGUGCUGCUAUCUGUCAAACUGCUUUCGGCACCGACUGCAGCUCAUAUCUUGGACAUUUGUC
This 277-nucleotide long non-coding RNA is filed under the name Amphibalanus amphitrite. Its description in RNAcentral is "uncharacterized LOC122389492". The record is from RNAcentral. Lineage: Eukaryota; Metazoa; Arthropoda; Thecostraca; Balanomorpha; Balanidae.